Molecule: long non-coding RNA, 1609 nt
Organism: Pteropus alecto (black flying fox)
Lineage: Eukaryota; Metazoa; Chordata; Mammalia; Chiroptera; Pteropodidae
Exons: 2
Source: RefSeq, a predicted model, not a curated record
AUAUGGAAGAAGAGACGUCUCAUCCCUCAACAUCCAUACUAAUAAGAUACCAAGAACCUGGACAACGCACCGGGAGAGGAUCCCCACUCUACGAUGACAAGUCACCUCCCUCAGGUGAGCUCUGUGAUAUCUGCCGCAUGACUGAGCACCAGCCCCCGCAAGCUCCCAGCUGGCCAGUGCCACUUCCACUCUCAGGAGAGACCCUCCUCGGGCGGACAUCAGGAGGAAUCUUGCUUCUCUCAGGCUCUACUGUUGAGGCUUCUGUCCCGGCAAAAUCCCUGCUUCCCUGACACGAGGGCUGAUGUUAAUGGUUCGUGAGCUGAACAAGGCUUGGAACAUACUUUGCUUAAGAAGAAAUGACAACAUACUUUCUGUGGGAGUAGAACUUUAAAUACAAGUCUACACAAAUGGUAGGAUUGAUGUAGACCCAGUGUUCAGCUGCAUUUCAAGUACAGCAUUUUCUCCUGGAAUGGAUUGGCGGAUUGAGUGGUAUGUAGGCAUUUCAAGGCACCAGAGAGCACAGAUGAAGCCAACAAACCUUCCUAAAACAGAACAGACCUGCUAAAAUACUUCUGAAGGGAACCAUUUCACAUUCAGCCUGAAGUCUUCUAUCCAAAGAACAUUUAACAAACUGAGUCCUAGAGGAGAAUUUAUGCAGAUUAAAAAGCAAAUCAGUGCAAAUGAGUAAAUAAAAUCAGGCAUCAGCAUCUCACCAACCCUCCCAGCAGCCCUGGGCAGCUGGGCCUGAGGGCUGGAUUUCUGGACCGAGGCUGGAACUUAGUCACCACAGAGGGCUGAGGCCCUUGUUCUGGGACCUUUCAGAGAUCUUGGACCCUGGGCCACUGCUGUACACAGGUCUCUCUGCACAAGUACCACAGGAGCCCUUGGCUCUGAGAGAACCAACCAGAAGACACCCUCUCCCUGAGAGAGGAUGUCCCAGCUCAGGCUGAACCGUGGGCUGCUUGCUUGGGGAAACCUGUGACCUGCCUGCGGGGCUGUCCAGGGUCCGCUCUAGAAUGUGUAACUGGGAGGGGAUUGGGGGCUGCUGGAGUCUGCUGCCCAGGGGGGUGAGACGUAAGACUGUGAAUUAGUCAUUGUUCACAGCAAAGACCAGUGGGGCAGAGAUCACAGGGGAGGAGGGGUCUAUGGCCCUCUAUGUUCCCUCUAAUCGCUGCCACCAAACCUGCCUUCCAAGGGUCUUCUUGGCUCUGGGUUCCAACUCAUACCUGUCCCUCUGGUAGUGUAGCUCUGACUACAACUGCUCUUGGCUGUUGAAUCCUACACCUCUGAAAAGGGUGGCAAGAACUCUUGGCUCUGGUCAUGGAGGCUGUGUGUCCCCAAAUUGCUGGUAUAGACAUGCUAGUGGGGACAGGGACACAGCUUCAUUCAGGACUGACUAACUUAAAAAGAUAAGCACACUUUGCUUUUGUAAAGAUCCUGGUAGACUUUCCCCUUUUUGUUUGUCUCUGCCUCCAAGCCUCACAGGACUCUUUCCUUACUUUCUCUGGUCCGUAGAGCGGCUAGAGCCUGCUUUCCAGGCAGGAGGCAGGAUUGCACUUCCUGGUCCCCUUGUGGGUGGGUGGAUCACGUGACUAGUUCUGACCAGUAA